UUUUAACUUACAUAACCAACGCCCGGGUACUACGAGCCUCAGCUUAAAACCACGGUGUCCUAUCCAACUAGAGGAGCCUGUUCUAUAAUCGACAACCCCCGAUAUACCCAACCCCCUUGCCAAUCAGCCUGUAUACCUCCGUCGCAAACUUACCAUAUGAGUGUUUAUAGUGAGUCGGAGUAUCUAACACCAACACGUCAGGUCAAGGUGCAGCUCAUGGGGUGGAAAGCAAUGGGCUACAAUUUCUAACAUAGAAGAUACGAAAUGCUACAUGAAACACAGCCACGAAGGCGGAUUUAGUAGUAAAAAGA
RNAcentral lists this ribosomal RNA (311 nucleotides) under Limnonectes khasianus (Khasi Hills frog). RNAcentral describes it as "partial 12S ribosomal RNA". Lineage: Eukaryota; Metazoa; Chordata; Amphibia; Anura; Dicroglossidae. The record is from RNAcentral.